UAGGAUGUGAUCAUAAGAUUGAUAUUUCUUUUACAAGGAAAAAGAGCUUUGUUUAGCCAUUCUAA
This 65-nucleotide transfer RNA is filed under the name Ornithodoros brasiliensis. RNAcentral's name for it is "tRNA-Val". Lineage: Eukaryota; Metazoa; Arthropoda; Arachnida; Ixodida; Argasidae. The record is from RNAcentral.